GGGGUUACUAAUGAUUUUAGCUUGCAAAAAGAUUUAUUAUAUUUCAGAGGUAAAAUCAUAAUUUUAUCAAGUUCUAUUUUGAAAGCCUCAAGAGCAAGAAUAGAAGAUUUGUGAUCUAUUGAAGAUAAUUUUAUAUUUUUUAGAUAUAUAUUUUGAAAAAAAAUCAAGUUUAAAGAAAAUGGUCGACCCUUAGAGUCGAUCAUGAUCAAAAG
RNAcentral lists this long non-coding RNA (212 nucleotides) under Elaeis guineensis (African oil palm). Its description in RNAcentral is "long non-coding RNA (EGUI_LNC055409)". Lineage: Eukaryota; Viridiplantae; Streptophyta; Magnoliopsida; Arecales; Arecaceae. The record is from RNAcentral.